This 301-nucleotide unclassified non-coding RNA is filed under the name Hevea brasiliensis (rubber tree). The record is from RNAcentral. Lineage: Eukaryota; Viridiplantae; Streptophyta; Magnoliopsida; Malpighiales; Euphorbiaceae.
CCUGAAGCUGCUCUCGGUGCGGAUCGAUACCUUUCUUCACUUACCACUAUUAGCGAUGUUGAAGUUUCAACCGAUUUGCAGGUUGUAAAGGUCUAUGUCUCCGUAUUUGGAGACGAAAGAGGAAAGGAAGUGGCUUUGACGGGCUUGAAGUCAAAAGCAAAAUAUGUAAGGAGUGAGCUAGGGAGGCGAAUGAAGUUGCGACUGACUCCUGAGAUUCGUUUCAUUGAAGAUGAGUCCCUUGAACGAGGAAGCAGGGUACUUGCUAUAUUGGACAGGAUUAAGGAUGAGAAUGAAAAUAAGG